This 383-nucleotide ribosomal RNA is filed under the name uncultured eukaryote. RNAcentral describes it as "partial 18S ribosomal RNA". It matches the Rfam family "Eukaryotic small subunit ribosomal RNA", at positions 592 to 976 of the family's 1831-position model. The record is from RNAcentral.
CAAUAGCGUAUAUUAAAGUUGUUGCAGUUAAAAAGCUCGUAGUUGGAUUUCUGGUAGGAGUGACCGUGCCAGACUUGAUUGUCUGUGUAUUGUGUUGUCUCCAGCCAUCCUUGUGGAGAACUUUUCUUGCAUUAAUUUGUAGGGAUUGGGACCCGCAUCGUUUACUGUGAAAAAAUUAGAGUGUUUAAAGCAGGCAAUCGCUUGAAUACAUUAGCAUGGAAUAAUAAGAUAGGACUUUGGUACUAUUUUGUUGGUUUGCAUACCAAAUUAAUGAUCAACAGGAACAGUUUGAGGAUAUUCGUAUGAACAUGUCAGAGGUGAAAUUCUUGGAUUUUGAUCAGACGAACUACUGCGAAAGCAUUUAUCAAGGAUGUUUUCAUUAA